Equus caballus (horse) is the source of this 971-nucleotide long non-coding RNA. RefSeq lists it as uncharacterized. Lineage: Eukaryota; Metazoa; Chordata; Mammalia; Perissodactyla; Equidae. The record is from RefSeq and is a predicted model, not a curated record.
UCCUCAGGGCACUGACAACACUCCGUCAAAGCUCUCCCACAGGAAGGACUUCUGAUGGGCGUGGCUGGGUAACUCAUUCAUAGCACAGCACGAAGAUGAGAGGUGACCCUGCGUCUAUUGGAAUCAGAUUAGAGCAAAUUGCUCAUUAUUGUCAGGCGGAUGGAGACCUUGUGACAAAUGGGAGGACACUGGAGUUAGAAAUGACUGCCUGCAAGAAGACAGAUACUUGGGGAAAGAGAAUACAGACAGAAGGACGCAAAGGGAGAUCUACAGAGGCAAGUCCACAGUAAAGAAGAGAAGCAGAAAUCUGGAAACCUACAGAGAGAGACAACAGCCUGGAGGCCUUUGAUAGACUUUCCUCUUCACCUGGCCUGAAAGCAUUAGAGCAGCUGAGGUGAAGACUCGAAAGUGGGAACUAGAGAAGUCAUCUUGGACCAAAGCUGGAAGCCACAUGUUGAAGAUAGCAAAUUGCUGACAGAGUCCCUGAUAUUAUGGAGCUUCCUCGUCAGUCCUGGCCUGCCUUUGCUCAGAUUAUUGUGUGAGAAAGGCAUAAACUCUCUUAUGUAAGCCACCAGUAUUUUGACUUUGGUUCUAUCCUAUCUCUUACAGUGGCUUCUUUUUGUCACUCUUCCUGAUAAGAAUGCUGAACUCAUGAUGUGUUUGUACUGGAGUAGGAUCAGCUUUGGAAGACUACACUGGAGGAACAGAGAGGAACAGGCAUUUCCCAAAUCACUAAGACCAAGGAACACAUACACACAGGUAGUUAGGUGCAAUCUCCUGUCUCUCUUCUCACACAUUGGGCUGAGGUGGUUGAGAUUAAAGGCUUUGCUGUAAGAUACACCUGGGCUUGAGUCCUUAGUUUUCUUUGGAAUCUGUCUCUUUUGGGUCUGACUUCCUUGGCUGUGGCAGAUUGUUGGUGUAUUAGUCAGAGUUCUCCCCUUACUAGGGGAGAUAGAAGAAGAGAUUUAUUA